GGUGGCUCAGUGGUAGAGCUCUUGCCUUGCUUGCAUGAGGCCCUGGGUUCGAUUCCUCAGCACCA
RNAcentral lists this transfer RNA (65 nucleotides) under Dipodomys ordii (Ord's kangaroo rat). It matches the Rfam family "tRNA". Rfam says of the family: Transfer RNA (tRNA) molecules are approximately 80 nucleotides in length. Their secondary structure includes four short double-helical elements and three loops (D, anti-codon, and T loops). The record is from Rfam by way of RNAcentral. Lineage: Eukaryota; Metazoa; Chordata; Mammalia; Rodentia; Heteromyidae.